UAGGGAAUCUUCGGCAAUGGACGAAAGUCUGACCGAGCAACGCCGCGUGAGUGAAGAAGGUUUUCGGAUCGUAAAACUCUGUUGUUAGAGAAGCACAAGGACGUUAGUAACUGAACGUCCCCUGACGGUAUCUAACCAGAAAGCCACGGCUAACUACGUGCCAGCAGCCGCGGUAAUACGUAGGUGGCAAGCGUUGUCCGGAUUUAUUGGGCGUAAAGCGAGCGCAGGCGGUUUCUUAAGUCUGAUGUGAAAGCCCCCGGCUCAACCGGGGAGGGUCAUUGGAAAAUGGGAGACUUGAGUGCAGAAGAGGAGAGUGGAAUUCCAUGUGUAGCGGUGAAUUGCGUAGAUAUAUGGAGGAACACCAGUAGCGAAGGCGGCGCGCUGGUCUGUAACUGAAGCUGAGGAUCGAAAGCGUGGGGAGCAAACAGG
RNAcentral lists this ribosomal RNA (429 nucleotides) under Gemmatimonadota bacterium. RNAcentral describes it as "Gemmatimonadetes bacterium partial 16S ribosomal RNA". It matches the Rfam family "Bacterial small subunit ribosomal RNA", at positions 355 to 776 of the family's 1533-position model. The record is from RNAcentral. Lineage: Bacteria; Pseudomonadati; Gemmatimonadota.